GGGUGCUUAGCUCAGUUGGUUAGAGCACCUCGUUUACACCGAGGGUGUCGGGGGUUCGAGUCCCUCAGCGCCCA
RNAcentral lists this transfer RNA (74 nucleotides) under Chloroflexota bacterium. RNAcentral describes it as "tRNA-Val". It matches the Rfam family "tRNA". Rfam says of the family: Transfer RNA (tRNA) molecules are approximately 80 nucleotides in length. Their secondary structure includes four short double-helical elements and three loops (D, anti-codon, and T loops). The record is from RNAcentral. RNAcentral also lists the same sequence under 3 other names. Lineage: Bacteria; Bacillati; Chloroflexota.